UACGGGGGGGGCAAGCGUUGUUCGGAAUUACUGGGCGUAAAGGGCUCGUAGGUGGCCAACUAAGUCAGACGUGUAAUCCCUCAGCUUAACUGGGGAACUGCGUCUGAUACUGGAUGGCUUGAGUUUGGGAGAGGGAUGCGGAAUUCCAGGUGUAGCGGUGAAAUGCGUAGAUAUCUGGAGGAACACCGAUGGCGAAGGCGGCAUCCUGGACCAACACUGACACUGAGGAGCGAAAGCCAGGGGAGCAAACGGG
Molecule: ribosomal RNA, 253 nt
Filed under: uncultured bacterium
Lineage: Bacteria
Description: partial 16S ribosomal RNA
Rfam family: Bacterial small subunit ribosomal RNA
Source: RNAcentral